AUUGAACGCUGGCGGCACGCCUUACACAUGCCAGUCGAACGGUAACAGGUUAAGCUGACGAGUGGCGAACGGGUGAGUAAUACAUCGGAACGUGCCCAGUAGUGGGGGAUAGCCCGGCGAAAGCCGGAUUAAUACCGCAUACGACCUAAGGGUGAAAGGGGGGGAUCGCAAGACCUCUCGCUAUUGGAGCGGCCGAUGUCAGAUUAGCUAGUUGGUGGGGUAAAAGCUCACCAAGGCGACGAUCUGUAGCUGGUCUGAGAGGACGACCAGCCACACUGGGACUGAGACACGGCCCAGACUCCUACGGGGGGCAGCAGUGGGGAAUUUUGGACAAUGGGCGCAAGCCUGAUCCAGCCAUGCCGCGUGCGGGAAGAAGGCCUUCGGGUUGUAAACCGCUUUUGUCAGGGAAGAAAUCCUUUGGGUUAAUACCUCGGGGGGAUGACGGUACCUGAAGAAUAAGCACCGGCUAACUACGUG
This 477-nucleotide ribosomal RNA is filed under the name uncultured bacterium. Its description in RNAcentral is "partial 16S ribosomal RNA". It matches the Rfam family "Bacterial small subunit ribosomal RNA", at positions 30 to 507 of the family's 1533-position model. The record is from RNAcentral.